Molecule: long non-coding RNA, 1148 nt
Organism: Brassica napus (rape)
Lineage: Eukaryota; Viridiplantae; Streptophyta; Magnoliopsida; Brassicales; Brassicaceae
Exons: 4
Source: RefSeq, a predicted model, not a curated record
AUAUAUAUAUAUAUAUACUAAAAGGGACUAAUAAAAGCUUCUUAGGCUAUCCACCUCAGCCAAUUAAAUCAACUAAUCAUAUGUUAUUAAAUUGCCAUGUCAUUUUGUAAAAUCCACAUCAUAUUUCUUUGAAAAAAAAUGAAACGUAGCUAAACUUCUUCGCUGCCUACACAAACCAGAAAGACAAGAGUUUCAAUCUCUUCAUAUACCUUACAAUUAAAUUCUCAUCUUCAAUAAACAUGUUAAGUUCCAAAUCCAGCAAAAUCACCACUAAAGCUCCAACUGAAUCGACCACCAGUUCCAUGGAUAAGAAAAAAGGGGUUGCUUGACUCCAUCUACAGCUUUGAAUCCUGCAAAAAGAAAGAUCCUCAUAGGGCUUGAUCUGUUAUUUAUGGCAAAGAGGAACAAUGAAGUACUCGCUGAGAGAACCAGCAACAGGAGGCAGAGUGUCGGAAACAGCAGAGCUUGGAACAGCUACGAUUUGAUUAUAGGGAUUGGUGACGAUCACACGUCCUCUCUGUGGAUUAAGGUUAUCAUCAUCAUUUACCCUUACUCAGUUUGGUUAUCUUUUACCGAUCUAGAGAUGCUUUUGCUAAACAAGCUUAACGUUCAUAUAUACAUGGCUGACUUGAAUGCAAAUGCAAAGGUAACAAAAGCAAAUAUCUGAUUUGUCCUUUUCUAGAGAUAGUUCCGAUACAAAACUUUAUGUGUUUUCUUUGAUGAAAAAUAUUGAAAGGUAUUAGCAGAUAACGUACGAGGAUGCGAGUGAUGCAUCGAACGAUGCCGUCCAGAGCAUAAGAACGUUUGCUUCAUUUUUUCCAGAGGAGAAAGGGAUGAAAAUAUAUACGAACCAAUGUGAAGGUCCUUUGAAACAACAUAUUCAGUGGUCCAAAGUUUGUCGAUAACAGCUAAACAAUAUUCACCUCAACUUUCAGGCCUUUAGGAGGUUUCAUCUCUCCUCCGAAUCCAAAUCUCCUCUGGUAGCUUCCAUGUCUAAGAAUCCAGCAAAAUCACAACCAAAGCUCCAACUGAAUCGACCACCAGUUCCAUGGAUAAGAAAAAAGGGGUUGCUUGGCUCCAUCUACAGCUUCGAAUCCUGCAAAAAGAAAGAUUCACAUAGGGCUUGAUCUGUUAUUUAUGGCAAAGAG